GUGAUGCAGAGCUGUACAGAAAUUCGCUACUGGGGUUCAAACACCUGAGUUGAAGCUGCAAACGAGAGCAAUGUCUGGUUUUACAGGUCUUGAUCAUUCAAGGAACCAGACAUAAAAAGGAACUGGAUAUACAACUCAACUGGUCAAAAUCCAUGGAGUAACAAGAAACGAGGCUGAAGAGGAUACAGCUACCUUACUUCAGGACAAGAAACAGAAAUGAACACAUCCUUUGGACAGAAAUCCUUUGAGACCUGAUGAAUCGCAUGGACUGAACUUAUUGAUUUGUCCCUGCUUAACACAGCAUCUCAAAUGGAGUUUUACAUUUUGUCAUAGUCUGGGGUAAGGAUCAUCCCCUGCUUCAGCGUCCCAGGUGCUGGAGUUGGUCCCUUUAACCACCAGUGGGGAUCCCAUUAACCACCAGUGGGGAUCCCAUUAAC
Molecule: non-coding RNA, 437 nt
Organism: Zonotrichia albicollis (white-throated sparrow)
Lineage: Eukaryota; Metazoa; Chordata; Aves; Passeriformes; Passerellidae
Source: RefSeq, a predicted model, not a curated record